Molecule: ribosomal RNA, 434 nt
Filed under: uncultured Lachnospiraceae bacterium
Lineage: Bacteria; Bacillati; Bacillota; Clostridia; Lachnospirales; Lachnospiraceae
Description: bacterial SSU rRNA
Rfam family: Bacterial small subunit ribosomal RNA
Source: RNAcentral
ACGGGAGGCAGCAGUGGGGAAUAUUGCACAAUGGGGGAAACCCUGAUGCAGCGACGCCGCGUGAGUGAAGAAGUUAUUCGUAAUGUAAAGCUCUAUCAGCAGGGAAGAAAAUGACGGUACCUGACUAAGAAGCCCCGGCUAACUACGUGCCAGCAGCCGCGGUAAUACGUAGGGGGCAAGCGUUAUCCGGAUUUACUGGGUGUAAAGGGAGCGUAGACGGCAAGGCAAGUCUGAUGUGAAAACCCAAGGCUCAACCAUGGGACUGCAUUGGAAACUGUCUAGCUAGAGUGCAGGAGAGGUAAGUGGAAUUCCUAGUGUAGCGGUGAAAUGCGUAGAUAUUAGGAGGAACACCAGUGGCGAAGGCGGCUUACUGGACUGUAACUGACGUUGAGGCUCGAAAGCGUGGGGAGCAAACAGGAUUAGAUACCCUGGUA